RNAcentral lists this ribosomal RNA (492 nucleotides) under uncultured bacterium. Its description in RNAcentral is "partial 16S ribosomal RNA". It matches the Rfam family "Bacterial small subunit ribosomal RNA", at positions 29 to 507 of the family's 1533-position model. The record is from RNAcentral.
AGUGAACGCUGGCGGUAGGCCUAACACAUGCAAGUCGAACGGCAGCACAGUAAGAGCUUGCUCUUACGGGUGGCGAGUGGCGGACAGGUGAGGAAUACAUCGGAAUCUACUUUUUCGUGGGGGAUAACGUAGGGAAACUUACGCUAAUACCGCAUACGACCUACGGGUGAAAGCAGGGGAUCUUCGGACCUUGCGCGAUUGAAUGAGUCGAUGUCGGAUUAGCUAGUUGGCGGGGUAAAGGCCCACCAAGGCGACGAUCCGUAGCUGGUCUGAGAGGAUGAUCAGCCACACUGGAACUGAGACACGGUCCAGACUCCUACGGGAGGCAGCAGUGGGGAAUAUUGGACAAUGGGCGCAAGCCUGAUCCAGCCAUACCGCGUGGGUGAAGAAGGCCUUCGGGUUGUAAAGCCCUUUUGUUGGGAAAGAAAAGCAGCAGGUUAAUACCCCGCUGUUCUGACGGUACCCAAAGAAUAAGCACCGGCUAACUUCGUG